RNAcentral lists this ribosomal RNA (446 nucleotides) under uncultured bacterium. RNAcentral's name for it is "bacterial SSU rRNA". It matches the Rfam family "Bacterial small subunit ribosomal RNA", at positions 330 to 792 of the family's 1533-position model. The record is from RNAcentral.
UCCAGACUCCUACGGGAGGCAGCAGUGGGGAAUAUUGCACAAUGGGGGAAACCCUGAUGCAGCAACGCCGCGUGAGUGAAGAAGUAUUUCGGUAUGUAAAGCUCUCUCAGCAGGGAAGAAGAAGGACGGUACCUGACUAAGAAGCCCCGGCUAACUACGUGCCAGCAGCCGCGGUAAUACGUAGGGGGCGAGCGUUAUCCGGAUUUACUGGGUGUAAAGGGAGCGUAGACGGUUAAUCAAGUCUGAAGUGAAAGCCCGCGGCUCAACUGCGGAACGGCUUUGGAAACUGAGUAACUGGAGUGCUGGAGGGGCAGGCGGAAUUCCUGGUGUAGCGGUGAAAUGCGUAGAUAUCAGGAGGAACACCGGUGGCGAAGGCGGCCUGCUGGACAGUAACUGACGUUGAGGCUCGAAAGCGUGGGGAGCCAACAGGAUUAGAUACCCGAGUA